This 440-nucleotide ribosomal RNA is filed under the name uncultured bacterium. RNAcentral describes it as "bacterial SSU rRNA". It matches the Rfam family "Bacterial small subunit ribosomal RNA", at positions 338 to 795 of the family's 1533-position model. The record is from RNAcentral.
CCUACGGGGGGCAGCAGUGGGGAAUAUUGCACAAUGGGGGAAACCCUGAUGCAGCAACGCAGCGUGAGCGAUGAAGGCCUUCGGGGCGUAAAGCUCUGUCCUAAGGGAAGAAUACUAACGGUACCUUAGGAGGAAGCCCCGGCUAACUACGGGCCGGGAGCCGCGGUAAUACGUAGGGGGCUAGCGUUAUCCGGAAUUACUGGGCGUAAAGGGUGAGGAGGCGGCCCUUCAAGUCAGAGGUGAAAGGCUACGGCUCAAACGUAGGAAGCCUUUGAAACUGUAGGGCUUGAGUGCAGGAGAGGGGAGUGGAAUUCCGAGUGUGGCGGUGAAAUGCGUGGAUAUUGGGGGGAACACCAGUUGCGAAGGCGGCUCUCUGGACUGUAACUGACGCUGAGGCACUAAAGCGUGGUGAGCGAACAGGAUUAGAUACCCUUGUAGUC